UUUGAGUAAUUCAAAUUACCCACCCUUCCUUUUGAAGGUUUGUUUGAGGAGUUGUUGGAGUAUAAGUCUUUGGUGUGAUACCAAACCGUUGGGGAUAAAAGAUCAUGGGAUUUUUGGGACUAAUGGCGAGACAUAGUGAACUAUCUUGUCAUGUGUCUCUAACCCCGCGCUCUGGGUUGUUGUGGGAGGCGGAAGCUACAGAAAGCGU
Molecule: long non-coding RNA, 208 nt
Filed under: Brassica napus (rape)
Lineage: Eukaryota; Viridiplantae; Streptophyta; Magnoliopsida; Brassicales; Brassicaceae
Description: long non-coding RNA (BNAP_LNC021076)
Source: RNAcentral